RNAcentral lists this transfer RNA (77 nucleotides) under Lederbergia galactosidilytica. RNAcentral's name for it is "Bacillus galactosidilyticus tRNA-Met". It matches the Rfam family "tRNA". From Rfam's summary of the family: Transfer RNA (tRNA) molecules are approximately 80 nucleotides in length. Their secondary structure includes four short double-helical elements and three loops (D, anti-codon, and T loops). The record is from RNAcentral. Lineage: Bacteria; Bacillati; Bacillota; Bacilli; Caryophanales; Bacillaceae.
CGCGGGGUGGAGCAGUCUGGUAGCUCGUCGGGCUCAUAACCCGAAGGUCGCAGGUUCAAAUCCUGCCCCCGCAACCG